UACAGAGGAGCCAAGCGUUGUUCGGAUUUACUGGGCGUAAAGGGCGCGUAGGCGGUCAGCACAAGUCAGUUGUGAAAUCUCCGGGCUUAACUCGGAAAGGUCAACUGAUACUGUGCGACUAGAGUGCAGAAGGGGCAACUGGAAUUCUCGGUGUAGCGGUGAAAUGCGUAGAUAUCGAGAGGAACACCUGCGGCGAAGGCGGGUUGCUGGGCUGACACUGACGCUGAUGCGCGAAAGCCAGGGGAGCGAACGGG
This 254-nucleotide ribosomal RNA is filed under the name uncultured bacterium. RNAcentral's name for it is "partial 16S ribosomal RNA". It matches the Rfam family "Bacterial small subunit ribosomal RNA", at positions 524 to 776 of the family's 1533-position model. The record is from RNAcentral.